This 586-nucleotide ribosomal RNA is filed under the name uncultured bacterium. RNAcentral's name for it is "bacterial SSU rRNA". It matches the Rfam family "Bacterial small subunit ribosomal RNA", at positions 338 to 916 of the family's 1533-position model. The record is from RNAcentral.
CCUACGGGAGGCAGCAGUGGGGAAUUUUGGACAAUGGGCGCAAGCCUGAUCCAGCAAUGCCGCGUGCAGGAUGAAGGCCUUCGGGUUGUAAACUGCUUUUGCACGGAACGAAACGGCUCCUAUUAAUACUGGGGGCUAAUGACGGUACCGUAAGAAUAAGCACCGGCUAACUACGUGCCAGCAGCCGCGGUAAUACGUAGGGUGCGAGCGUUAAUCGGAAUUACUGGGCGUAAAGCGUGCGCAGGCGGUUAUAUAAGACAGAUGUGAAAUCCCCGGGCUCAACCUGGGACCUGCAUUUGUGACUGUAUAGCUAGAGUACGGUAGAGGGGGAUGGAAUUCCGCGUGUAGCAGUGAAAUGCGUAGAUAUGCGGAGGAACACCGAUGGCGAAGGCAAUCCCCUGGACCUGUACUGACGCUCAUGCACGAAAGCGUGGGGAGCAAACAGGAUUAGAUACCCUGGUAGUCCACGCCCUAAACGAUGUCAACUGGUUGUUGGGUCUUCACUGACUCAGUAACGAAGCUAACGCGUGAAGUUGACCGCCUGGGGAGUACGGCCGCAAGGUUGAAACGUCAAAGGAAUUGACGG